CAGGCCUAACACAUGCAAGUGAACGCUCGUAGCAAUACGGGAGUGGCAGACGGGUGAGUAACACGUGGGAACGUACCUUCAGGUCUGGAAUAACCCUGGGAAACUAGGGCUAAUACCGGAUAUCCGAGAGAUCGGAAAGGCUUGCUGCCUGAAGAUCGGCCCGCGUCUGAUUAGCUAGUUGGUGAGGUAACGGCUCACCAAGGCGACGAUCAGUAGCUGGUCUGAGAGGAUGAUCAGCCACACUGGGACUGAGACACGGCCCAGACUCCUACGGGAGGCAGCAGUGGGGAAUAUUGGACAAUGGGCGAAAGCCUGAUCCAGCCAUGCCGCGUGAGUGAUGAAGGCCUUAGGGUUGUAAAGCUCUUUCGACGGGGACGAUAAUGACGGUACCCGUAGAAGAAGCCCCGGCUAACUUCGUGCCAGCAGCCGCGGUAAU
RNAcentral lists this ribosomal RNA (436 nucleotides) under uncultured bacterium. Its description in RNAcentral is "bacterial SSU rRNA". It matches the Rfam family "Bacterial small subunit ribosomal RNA", at positions 43 to 524 of the family's 1533-position model. The record is from RNAcentral.